Molecule: long non-coding RNA, 2753 nt
Filed under: Triticum aestivum (bread wheat)
Lineage: Eukaryota; Viridiplantae; Streptophyta; Magnoliopsida; Poales; Poaceae
Description: long non-coding RNA (TAES_LNC007988)
Source: RNAcentral
GACCUGCCCUCCGAGGAGCAGCCGCCGCCCGCCGGGAUCUGGCGUCGGCUUAAGUUGUCAUCUCGCCCUCGCGGUUCUUGCAUCGCGCAGCCAGGGGCCACCGCCCUGCCCUGCUCCCUCCCCCUAGCGAUCGGCGACGACUGCCUGUGCGGCCGCGCCGUUAUGUUGCCGGCCAACUGCCCUGCAUCUCCACUCCUCCAAGGCUCCAACACCCCUUCGCUGACCCCCUGCCUGCCGGGCUGCCGGACAGAAUUUUGUUGAGGCCAACCACAUCACAAACGGCACACAGGUAAACUAACAUAUUCCGCCAAAUUCCCCAUUUACUAAGUAGUAGCCUUAUUUUGUUUAGUUGCUUACAUCUCGUGAUAAGUAGUAGCCUGUCAGAGAAGAAUUGAUCUAGGACUUGUUAAUAUUGGUGAGUCAUGCAUGUACAUGUGUCUAUAUUUGUGGAUCUCAGACAUCAGUCUUCAGGCGUUCAUAUAUGUUUGUGCCUGCAGUCUUUCAUUUAGCUCCGGAUGAUGUGAAAAAUCAUCGUAGAUUUAUACUGUGCCAUCUGCACAAUGUCAAAAUGUUUCUAAUAGCCGAAGUUAUUUUCUGCUACUUAGUCUAGUUUUGAUGCACCCAGAAUCUCGUUAUAAUUACCAAAAUAUUGCAGGUGUCGAUGGAGGAACAGGUGGUAAUGUCAUUCUUGGUUUCUCAAGAUCUGUCUGGGAUUUCAUUAACUUGCAACAUCACACGGUAUGCUGGAUUAUGGUACUCAGGAGUUCCUUUUAUAUCAUUCAGAUCUGAUUCAUGGAGAAUGAUUGCUACUUUUUGCCUGAAGGGUUUGACAUCUUCCUGCAAAAAAAUAAUUAGAAUCAAUAUAUUACAACAUUGAAUUAGAUAUGCAAUACACUUUUGUCAUCCUUCAUGAAUUACCUGUGUAACAGGAUGUGACAGUUUGUGUCCUGUCCAGUUUUCAAUGAAUUGUAGCAUGAAUAAGCCGCAAGAUGAUCUAUUGGUUAAAAAUAUUGGGCACAUUAGUAAUAAGCAAACAUAAGGAAUUGUUGAAUAAUAAUCAAUAAUUGUUACUGCUGCUCUCAUUUCACAUUUUCUCAUGUGAUGAUUUCAAACAUACCCAUCAAAUUGAAUUCGAUCUUGAAUAUACUCUUUUAUAGUCCAUCUAGUUACAUCAAUAUCUGGCCAAGUACCUAGGUUAAACCCAUUCAUCUUAGAAGCAACCUUUAGAUGCGCCUCAAGCCCCUGAAGUUGUUAAAUAGAAAAAAGAGUAUGAUAAUAUAGGUGAAACUAAAUGCAUGAAUUCCAAGUUCAGAUAUAGUAAAAUCAUACCGUAAGUUGUAGAUCAGCUCGGCUCAUUCGAGAACCAAAAGAAUCGAGUACUUGUAUCUCGCGUUGUUUGAUAUUGACAACAGAUAGAUACCAAUGCGUUUGGUUCAUAUUGAUUGGAAUGAACAACUGACACAAAAUAUAUAAGUCGUUGCCCCGGCUAGGUAAACAAAUUGAUAACAAAUGAUAGAACCAUAGGUACGAAAAUUAGUCUAACCAUGUCAUGUUGUAGAUACUUAAGGACCUUUUCAACGAUGUGGUGAUGACUCUCAAGGCUUCUGGGAAUUUCACCAUCUCACUUAAGUAUUCCUGAAUCAUAUGUAGUUUCCAAGAAUACCCGUGCACCCGCUGUACAAAAUUUAUCCUGGACCCUUAGACAGUAAAUAUAUGCAAUUUGACCUAUAGUAGAAAAAGUAACAAAUAAAUUAGACAUUCUUGAAGUGUGUAAGUAUGAUCAUUGGAAUAUAUUUUAGCUGACCUCGCUCUCCACCCAUAUCUCAUCUUCUAAAAGACAUUCCAAAUCUCAACAUGUCAAGGUUGUGUCAUGGAUAUUCACUAACUUGGUUUUGCUAGGGAAGGACAUGAUGUAUUCCUUCAUUUCAGUAAAAUUAAUAGCACAGGCAUUUUCUUUUAUCUCAUUCAGAUCCAUCAGAAACAACAUAGACAUAAGUAAAGCUUAAUUGAAUAAAAAAAUGUGGUGGUUGUUUGUAUAGCGCCUGUGGAAGCUGAUCCGCUUGUUGCUAAUACGUGAAUGCAAGGAGCUCACCUCGGCGGGUGCGACGGACAUGGCGAGUGGAGCGCAGAGGCAACGGCGGCCGUAGCGUAGCGUCGCCGGGAGGACGGCCUUGAGGUGCUUUACAGCGGUGAGCCCGUCCCGGCUGCCGUCGUUUCCCCAACGUAUACAGGUUCUCUUCCACGACUGAUGAACGUGCCCACAAAGGAUCGGCCAGAGAGAGAAGAAAAGAGACCUAUGCAGGGCGUCAAUGGGGUAGUGCGAGCAGCCUUGCUUUAUUAUUUAUACUUCCCUUCCGCUGAACUCGGGAAUUUUUUCCUGCAUGUGACGCGCGGCCUUAACUGCCCUGCAAUAUCGGCGAUUAUCUUCCCUACAUAGGGCAAUCUCCGCGAUUAUCUUCCCUACAUAAACAUGAUUGCUUCCAUCUGAUUUGUUUACCGAUCGGGAGCAAGAAAAUCGCCAGAGAUAUCGCUCCGUUUUAUUGUAUCGUAUACUCUUACUCUGAGUGGAAACAUCCCAUCCAGCGACAAAUUUGGCUAGUCUAUGGCGGAUAAGAUGGAAACACAAAGCAGUCCAUUUUUUAAGAGAAGAGGAAAAGGAAAGAGAGAAACCCGAGGUGGAGAGGGACGUGCAUGGGGAGAUUGAUCACCUUUUGAGAACCAAAUAACAUAUUUAUUACCAUAUAUAAGUUGAU